This 200-nucleotide long non-coding RNA is filed under the name Panax ginseng (ginseng). RNAcentral describes it as "long non-coding RNA (PGIN_LNC003142)". The record is from RNAcentral. Lineage: Eukaryota; Viridiplantae; Streptophyta; Magnoliopsida; Apiales; Araliaceae.
UCAUCAAUACAUAUCCAAACUACCAAAAAAACUAUCAUUCCAUACCCAAAAAUCAUCAUAACCAUGUAUAAUCAGUUAACUUUACAAAAGACGUAACACACAAAAUACACACAAUCAUCCAUUAAAAAAAUUCUAAAAAAAAUAGAUAUCCAGACAAAGUUUCUUACUAAUUUUAAAAAAAUUCGACAGAGUUUUCUUUA